UCUCCGUUGGUGAACCAGCGGAGGGAUCAUUACUGAGUUUACAACUCCCAAACCCCUGUGAACAUACCUAUCGUUGCUUCGGCGGGAUCGCCCCGGCGCCCUGCGCGCCGGAACCAGGCCCCCGCCGCAAGACCCCAAACUCUGUUUUUACUUCAAUAUCUUCUGAGUGGCUUUUAAAGCAAAAAAUAAAUUAAAACUUUUAACAACGGAUCUCUUGGCUCUG
Molecule: unclassified non-coding RNA, 223 nt
Filed under: plant metagenome
Description: partial contains small subunit ribosomal RNA, internal transcribed spacer 1, and 5.8S ribosomal RNA
Source: RNAcentral